This 67-nucleotide transfer RNA is filed under the name Marmota monax (woodchuck). Its description in RNAcentral is "tRNA.Ala". Lineage: Eukaryota; Metazoa; Chordata; Mammalia; Rodentia; Sciuridae. The record is from RNAcentral.
GGCUGUGGCUCAGUGGUAGUGCACUUGCCUGGCAUGUGUGAGGCACUGGGUUCGGUUCUCAGCACCA